AUAUAAUCUUAUUAUACUAAUAUACUAGCUAUAUAGCAUAUUAUAUAAAAUAUGCAAAAAGUGAUAGAUAUCAAGCUUGCUACUGCCUUUCCACCUGCAGAGCAAGUUAAAUAGUGUAGGAUAAUACUAAAGUAAUUGAAAGAUAAGGAAGCAGAGGACUUAUUAUUUUUUCAGUGGGUUCUCUAUUCUUUCGGUGGGUUCUAUCAAUACCAAAGUGCAGAAACACUAUCUCUUCCCUCUUCUGUGGCUGCUCUGCUUCCACUUGGUUUGAGUGGCUUCUCUUCACCUUUGCUUGCUUCUUUGCCCAUAAACCCUUCAUCACCUCUUGAGUGGUGUUGAGCUUGUAAACUUGGCCAAGAACAAGAGCAUUAGUUGACUGGUCUUAUAUGCAUUGAUCCAACGUCGCCAUCUUCAUCCUCAAACUCUACCAGAAGUGAUAGCCAAAAUUUGUUGAACCUUCAUUUACAUGGAAGGCCACCUGCCUACCAGGAUAUUAACAUGGCGUAGAGGGGUUUU
Molecule: long non-coding RNA, 516 nt
Filed under: Prunus dulcis (almond)
Lineage: Eukaryota; Viridiplantae; Streptophyta; Magnoliopsida; Rosales; Rosaceae
Description: sRNA ncRNA
Source: RNAcentral